GACGAACGCUGGCGGCGUGCUUAACACAUGCAAGUCGAACGGUAAGGCCCUUCGGGGUACACGAGUGGCGAACGGGUGAGUAACACGUGGGUGAUCUGCCCUGCACUUCGGGAUAAGCCUGGGAAACUGGGUCUAAUACCGGAUAGGACUCCGGACUGCAUGGUCUGGGGUGGAAAGCUUUUGCGGUGUGGGAUGGGCCCGCGGCCUAUCAGCUUGUUGGUGGGGUGAUGGCCUACCAAGGCGACGACGGGUAGCCGGCCUGAGAGGGUGACCGGCCACACUGGGACUGAGAUACGGCCCAGACGCCUACGGGAGGCAGCAGCGGAGAAUAUUGCACAAUGGGCGCAAGCCUGAUGCAGCGACGCCGCGUGAGGGAUGACGGCCUUCGGGUUGUAAACCUCUUUCAGCACAGACGAAGCGCAAGUGACGGUAUGUGCAGAAGAAGGACCGGCCAACUACGUGCCAGCAGCCGCCGUAA
This 478-nucleotide ribosomal RNA is filed under the name uncultured bacterium. Its description in RNAcentral is "partial 16S ribosomal RNA". It matches the Rfam family "Bacterial small subunit ribosomal RNA", at positions 28 to 523 of the family's 1533-position model. The record is from RNAcentral.